This 1321-nucleotide long non-coding RNA is filed under the name Heterocephalus glaber (naked mole-rat). RNAcentral describes it as "lncRNA (ENSHGLG00000045179.1)". The record is from RNAcentral. Lineage: Eukaryota; Metazoa; Chordata; Mammalia; Rodentia; Bathyergidae.
GCCUCGGGGGCCGGGUGGCGCCGCCUGGCCUCCCGCCCCGGCGCCGCCUGCUCUAACCGCUUCGGGCGCGGCGGCAGCGGUUUGGCGCUGCCUGGAGCCCCGGGUCUCGGUUCCUGCAAAAUACGUUCAAGGAGAAUGCCUGCAGCUGAGCAGAGAAUUUAACCUAAGCUUCCUGGCAACUCAAGGAAAAGAAGAACACAAGAAAGAAACUGAAUAAAGUAGAACAGAAUGGAAACAACUAGAAAACAAAUAGAGCACAGGCCAAGGUGGCAGGAGGGAGACCAAAUACAGACGACAAUGAGUAUAAAUGGGUUCUUCUCUAAGAAAAAGGAAAAAAUGGAAUCCAGUGAUCAGCUGCUUACAAGUCAGGCCCGUAACAUGGCGAUGGAGACAGCAUACAAACUAAUGCCUCUCAGGCCACACAGCCUAUGGAAGCCUAAGGAAGCGGUAUCCCAGUGUUCCCAUCAGCCCAUGGUACACAUCUUCCUCUGUCCAAUCAGCCUGGGCCCUGAGGGUCACGUGCUACAAAACAUGGCUGCCUCAGAAACAGCAUGGGACGUCUUUCCUGGGUGGUUCUCCUUAGACGCAAAGACUCAGCACACCUUGGCUUUUUCCUCCGUUCCAUUCAAGAAAAACACUUCCAACAUGGAGAUCAGAGUGGAUUUCUCUCAGCCCCACUCAGCCCCAAAGUAUGUGAACAAAGAAGCUGUGGCCCUGGUUACUGUGGAAGGAAUCUUGUGACCCUGAGAGAGGGCUGCUGGAAGACACAGAGCAGGGAGGAGAGCGGAACAGAGAGGAUCUGUAAGGAAUGGGCAGGAGCCCUGUUUGCUAUGCAGCCAUUCUGCCAUCCGCCCUCUACUACACUAGACAUUUUUGUAAAAGUCCUAAUUCACCACUGACGAAAUAAUGGCAUCAACAAUAUUGGAGUUCAUUGAAGAUAACUAGACAGAGCUUGCAAAGACAAAGUUGCUAACAGAAAAUGGGGCAAUCCUUGUAGAUCUGAAGCCGUCGGAGCAGGGCCGCAUGCAAUGAACCGGUGAUCCGUAAUCCAUGCAGUCUGCAGCACAGAUGUGGGUGAAGUCUUCCCUCAGUUCCUCGAAGUUUGAGCCUCUUCACUGACCAGCUCAUUACCUAGCAGCAGGCUUCUCCUAGUGCAAAUGAUCCAACUGAGACAAGUGUGUAUUCAAGAUGGAAGCUGCAGCAUUUUUAUAACUGAAUCUUGGCAAUGACAUCUCAUCACUUUUCUGUGUUUUACUCAUUAAAAGUGAGUCUCUAAGUCCAGUCUGUGUUCAAGGGGAGGAGAAUGAAGUACAUGUUUGAA